CAAUAACACAUAAACAAAGGGAAAAUCAAACAAAUAAACCAAAAACAACAACAACAGAGUAGUGACAAACAACAACAACAACAACAACAUGAUUUUACAGUGAAAAAGAUCAUAAAUGUACAGAAGACCUGAACAGUUUAUCAGCUUCGGCUUCUUCAUCAUGUGUGCAUGUUGUGUUUUUUUCACAGUCCAACCAAAUACUUUGGACAAGACGUGUCCGCGAAGACACUGAAGAUCUACCACCCUGAUUUCAUCCGUUACCUCAGAAACAGAUUUCUUCGCUCGAAUGCUCUGAAAACCAAAUAUAAGGACAUCUACCGUCCGUCCACUGGAGCUGUGAUGCUAUUGGCUGCUUUGCACACCUGCGACCAGGUGAGCGCGUACGGCUUCAUGACCCCCGACUACAGGAACUACUCGGACCACUACUACGACACCACCUUCCACCCGGUGGGCUUCUUCAUCAACCACGACCUGCGCAUGGAGAUGACGCUGUGGCAGCAGCUGCACCAGGCCGGCCUCCUGCAACUCUACAUGCACAAAUAACCCCCACCCCACCUGACCCCACCUGACCCCACCUGACCCCACCAGACCCCACCAGACCCCACCUGACCCCACCCCACCUGACCCCACCAGACCCCACCUGACCCCACCUGACCCCACCAGACCCCACCAGACCCCACCUGACCCCACCUGACCCCACCAGACCCCACCAGACCCCACCUGACCCCACCCCACCAGACCCCACCUGACCCCACCUGACCCCACCCCACCUGACCCCACCAGACCCCACCAGACCCCACCUGACCCCACCCCACCUGACCCCACCUGACCCCACCUGACCCCACCCGAGCGGGGCAGGAAGAGGAGGCAGGACGGCUAAAAAUGGACCGGUCUUCCACCGCCGCCUGGACGACUGCGAUCUGAGCGGAACCCCUGAAGGGAACGUGGACCUGCAGCUGCUACGACACAUUUGACUUUAUUUAUCUGGAAAAGGAAAGGAUUUUAUUUGGAAAAUGAAAAGUGUCACCACAAAGUUUAGACGUUUAUUUGAACUGGAUAAAGGUCACGGGAAAGUGAGAGGGAUUUAAUUUGGUUUUUUGGAAAGCACGGUUUUAUUUCUAGGUCCAAAUGGAUUCACUUUGUUCCGAAGUGAGUGUCACUUUGGGGAAAACCCCAGUGAAAAACCCACAGAAGCUGUGAAUUUAAUCAGCUUCAAUAUACAGUCUGUCAGCUAGCCUGGGAGUUAGCCACUGUUCGCACUAGUUUGAGUGUUUACAUGUAGAAUUUAGCGUUCUUUCAGUCACUCACUGCAUUUCUCCCCAGUGGGGCUUACAGCUGUGCAGGAAUGAGCGCCAAAAACAAACAAUAGAAAACAUUUAACAGCAAUAAAACCAGGACCUUAAAGACAGAAUACAAAGUGCUAGCGGUUAGCAUGAAGCUGAAUUUAACGGUAGCAUUGUAACAUUCCCUGCGGUCAGAAUUUUGAGUAUGUUAGCAUUAGCUCAACAGGUUCCAACCCUUAUUCAACUUCAUUUCAUCAUCUUUUUGUUUACCUGCAAAUGUAAUCCUCAGUCCAGCUGAAAACAAACCAAACAUGCAGCUUAUGCUAACCGCUAACAGUUAGCAUAAAGUAGCUAGUGCAAUACGUGGAGAAAAGUGUCUGAGAUUUCACAUAUUUUUCCUCCGUUUAACGGUUAUGAUUCCUCGAGUUCCUUUUGCAGAAACUUUGCGUUGUGUUUUUAGUGUAUUUAAUGGGUUUUCGUUAAUAGUCGGCGCACAUGAAUGAACUAAUGCAGGUCCACAAACAUAGACCAGAAGACUUCUACUGGAGAAAAAGUGUUUACUUCUACAUUUAACGGUCACUUUAGCUGUAAACAUCCCAUAAUUAAACAUUCAUUCACAUUGAAAACUCCAAAUGCAAUGACAUUCAGCUUUGACAGAAGUGUCUUCCAGGUUUCUCCUUCUUCUGCCUGUGGACACUUUGGUUCCUUCAGUUUGUAGAUGUGUGUGACAUCACUUUAGUGAAGACUCCAGCUCCAGUUCCAUAGAAAUAAAAAAAUAACAUAAAUUAGGUUUUAUAUCCGUGCCAUUUGAACCAAAUACUGAAUAUAAAGAACACAGACCUUUUUUUUGUUUUAGAAUUUAACCUGAUUUUUGUCUUUUUGUUCAAGUCCGUCUUGGUUUUCUUGGGUGUGAACAGUCUUUUGAGGUGGUUUUACAGAUGAAGAAGCCGUUGGUGAUUUGUUGCUUUUGUUCGUCUGUGGGUCACAUUCGCUGACGCUGAACAGAAAACUGUGCAAGUAAAUCUGUGUCAUCACAUUUAGAAUUAUAAAAGCCAUUCUAGGACUGAUUUUUUUUUUGCACUGAAAGUAAGUAUCUGAAGUUUUGCACCUGAAUGUUUUAAAUUCUAAAUUUAUGAACAUGGUUGAAUUCAGAGACAAAACAUUCAGAUACAAAAAAUUCAGUGUUUUUUAUCAUUCAAAAUCUGGUGACACAGGUUGACUUCCAUAUGAAGCAGCAGAUGUGGUGGAGUCCGCCUGUGCCUUUUGUUUUUGGGCCUUUUGUUUUUGGGCCUUUUGUUUUUGGGGCCUUUUGUUUUUGGGCCUUUUGUUUUUGGGCCUUUUGUUUUUGUGCCUUUUGUUUUUGGGCCUUUUGUUUUUGUGCCUUUUGUUUUUGUGCCUUUUGUUUUUGUGCCUUUUGUUUUUGGGCCUUUUGUUUUUGGGCCUUUGACUUCCUGUGGGACUCCGUUGGGCCUGUAAACCUUCACGCCUGCUUUCAGACUGACUUUUUACAGCGUGGUACAGUCGCUGUGGCUGAAGCUGAGGGUCCUGUUACUGUGACCAGGGACCGGACCGCCGUGGAGUCGCACCGCUGCUGCAAAUAUCCUCCUCCUUAAACAGACGCUGGGAGCGCUGCUGGCACUGGACUCCGCCCACUCCCACAUUCACCGCCAUGAUCUGGUUCUGUGGUUUUUACUGUGGAACACACCAGCCGUGACUGGAGCUGUCACAGGAGCACUGAGGCUGAAAGUGGGGUUAAAGCACAGGUGUCCAACAUACGGCCCGUGGACCCAAACCAGGCCAAAGGCUCCAAACUGGACCAAAGGCUCCAAACCAGGCUAAAGGCUCCAAACCGGGCCAAAGGCUCCAAACUGGACCAAAGGCUCCAAACCAGGAUAAAGGCUCCAAACCGGGCCAAAGGCUCCAAACUGGGCUAAAGGCUCCAAACCGGGCCAAAGGCUCCAAACUGGGCUAAAGGUUCCAAACUGGGCUAAAGGCUCCAAACCGGGCUAAAGGCUCCAAACCGGGCCAAAGGCUCCAAACCGGGCUAAAGGCUCCAAACUGGGCUAAAGGCUCCAAACCGGGCUAAAGGCUCCAAACCGGGCUAAAGGCUCCAAACCGGGCCAAAGGCUCCAAACUGGGCUAAAGGCUCCAAACUGGGCUAAAGGCUCCAAACCGGGCUAAAGGCUCCAAACUGGGCUAAAGGCUCCAAACUGGGCUAAAGGCUCCAAACCGGGCUAAAGGCUCCAAACCGGGCCAAAGGCUCCAAACUGGGCUAAAGGCUCCAAACCGGGCUAAAGGCUCCAAACCGGGCCAAAGGCUCCAAACCAGCGCAUGGGAUGAAAACACUGAAGACAUGAGCGGUCAGUGGUGUCCAGAUCCUGUGAGUUCAGGUUCCACAUCCAGACUAAUAUGAGCUAAAGUGGAUCAGAACCAGGAAAUAAGAACAGAAGAACCUGUAAAUAAGAACAACAAGCGUUUGUUUUCAUUUUAGUGUAAAAUGACAUGAAAAUGUUGACAUUACAAACUAUCCUUUUUAAAGAAAUGUGAACAGGAACAACCUGAAAUGUAUGAUUAAUAUACAAAGUACAAUUAAUGUCAUUAGCAUGAGCAGGAAAAGUGUGGAACUGUGAAUGUCCUGAACUUCCAUAAAUAACCUGGAACUUUGGAAAAAUCCGUUGAGUUUUAACGCUCUGCGUCCUGUGUGUCAUUUACUCAGUGGAUCUACAAACACCAUUUACUAACAGGCAGAAUGUUGGUUCAAAUCCCACUGAUUUCUCUGAAUAUCAGUUUGUUCAGAUUUGUUCAGAUUCUUCCCGUUGUUGGUGAUAGUUUAUAAAUGUAAACGUCAUUCUGUCAUUUUAGGGUUUUUACACUUAAAGGUUUGCAGUUGUUCUUCUGAUCCGCUUUCGAUCCUCUUUUUCUGAAUGUUGAACCUGAACUAUCGGACUUGAAGGCGUCUGCUUUGAAGGGACUGGACUUCUGUUCUUUUUUCUCAGAUCGGGCGUUUCGAACCCACUCUGUGCCUUUGAAUGGGAAUUUGGAUUUUCUGAUUAAAGUGGACGGUUUUGGCACCAUUAUGGCGUUUCCACGGCGACACAAAGGCGGCCUCUCCCGUUCUGCGUUUGUGUUGCCGAGGACGGGUCGGGCGGAAUCCGUCCUCACCUGGACGACGCUCCGGGCCCAGACAGCAAAGGGUCAAAGGUCACGGAGACUCUUCAGUGUUCCUGUUGUCACGGAGCAGCUCCAGGUCAGAUCCUGAAGGUGAGCAGCCCAAACCAAAGAGCAACACAACAGCAGGGACUCAGGCGCUCACGUUUAGGACCAGAGUCACAGCACAGACCGGGCUCUAGUUCUGAAACGGGGACGUUGACGGUGCAAUUUAACCUUUGGAAAUUAAAGAAAACUGUGAUUUUGUGUCUGCUGUGAUUGUGUUCUUUGUUCUGGUGAGAACGUGUCAGUGUGAUGAUGUUCUCACAGUUCACAUGGAGGUCAUACACAACACUCAGGUCAGGUGACAUUUAGUUCCUUUUGAUCUCAGCGACCAAUAGGCAACGAGCUGUUAGGGCCUGCUCUUCAUCAUCAUCAUCAUCAUCAUCUGGUCAGAUUCAUUCCAAAUAUUUUAUGGAUCUUCCUUUGGACAAAUGUCUGCAAAGUUUGUUUAGUUUUGACAAUUUUUUCAAAUAUUCUAAAUGUUCCUUUAGUUCUACUGGUCCACAUGUAGACGGUUCAGAACAUGGAAAUAGAAAUCUCAGUAUAGUUCCUGCUGAUCACUGAUAGAAGUCCUACUUUUGAAUGAACUGAGUCUUCAUGAAUAUCUAAACCAAAUAUUUAUUUAUUUAUGUAUUUUAAUAUUUUAUUUGGCAGUUUUCAGUUGUGUAAAACACACACACAAAAAACAGAAGGAAAAAAAAAAACCCUUGAAGGCUCAGAUGAGUGUAACAGCUGAUGAAUUCAUGAAGUCUCCAGUUGUUGUUCAAAGACAGGAGGAGGGUCCGAGGGCGGUCAGUGGGACAGAUGUGCUCCUGAACUUCCUCUGAGUUUGUGAGGAACACAGUCCAAGCUCUAGAAGCAGGUUCAGGUCCUCAGAACCCGGAGCUGUUCCAUCUGGAUUAAAGACGACGUAUGACCGACCCACGCUGGAGAAGAAGGAGGUCUGGACACGUCCAUUCUUUAACCCUUUCAUGCACACUGGUCACUCCAGUGGUCACUCCAGUGGUCACUCCAGUGGUCAGUUCUUCUCCAGCUGUUCUCUUGUAUAUUCAUGGGUUUGGUUGUUUCAGUUCCAGAUCACAGUGGACAGUAACGCGCCAUCCCAUAAUAAUGCAGGUCCAUUCAGACCAGGCCUGUGACUGUGCACUUCCACAUGAACCUGAUCCAACAGCUAGAGUUUCCCUUGCUGGUUUCAGACGCCGUGACGAUUUCACACAGUCUAACCUGCGAAGACUCCUUAAGGAAACCUUUUUGUGAACUGUUAACUCUGUCCAUGUUUAAUAAACACCCUUUAACUUUA
This is an RNA transcript of Sphaeramia orbicularis (orbiculate cardinalfish), 5793 nucleotides long. It is a transcript of the gene named alpha-N-acetylgalactosaminide alpha-2,6-sialyltransferase 2-like, with no coding region annotated. The transcript is spliced from 4 exons. The record is from RefSeq and is a predicted model, not a curated record. NCBI's taxonomy places the organism in Eukaryota, Metazoa, Chordata, Actinopteri, Kurtiformes, Apogonidae.